GCGGGGGUGUCGGAGUGGUCAAACGAGCAGGACUUAAGAUCCUGUGCCUUAGUGGCUGCGGGGGUCCGAAUCCUCCCUCCCGCA
RNAcentral lists this transfer RNA (84 nucleotides) under Candidatus Pacearchaeota archaeon. Its description in RNAcentral is "tRNA-Leu". It matches the Rfam family "tRNA". From Rfam's summary of the family: Transfer RNA (tRNA) molecules are approximately 80 nucleotides in length. Lineage: Archaea; Nanobdellati. The record is from RNAcentral.